Molecule: ribosomal RNA, 465 nt
Filed under: Vreelandella stevensii
Lineage: Bacteria; Pseudomonadati; Pseudomonadota; Gammaproteobacteria; Oceanospirillales; Halomonadaceae
Description: partial 16S ribosomal RNA
Rfam family: Bacterial small subunit ribosomal RNA
Source: RNAcentral
CCUACGGGUGGCAGCAGUGGGGAAUAUUGGACAAUGGGGGCAACCCUGAUCCAGCCAUGCCGCGUGUGUGAAGAAGGCCCUCGGGUUGGAAAGCACUUUCAGUGAGGAAGAACGCCUGGUGGUUAAUACCCAUCAGGAAAGACAUCACUCACAGAAGAAGCACCGGCUAACUCCGUGCCAGCAGCCGCGGUAAUACGGAGGGUGCGAGCGUUAAUCGGAAUUACUGGGCGUAAAGCGCGCGUAGGUGGCUUGAUAAGCCGGUUGUGAAAGCCCCGGGCUCAACCUGGGAACGGCAUCCGGAACUGUCAAGCUAGAGUGCAGGAGAGGAAGGUAGAAUUCCCGGUGUAGCGGUGAAAUGCGUAGAGAUCGGGAGGAAUACCAGUGGCGAAGGCGGCCUUCUGGACUGACACUGACACUGAGGUGCGAAAGCGUGGGUAGCAAACAGGAUUAGAUACCCGAGUAGUC